Molecule: long non-coding RNA, 292 nt
Filed under: Nicotiana benthamiana
Lineage: Eukaryota; Viridiplantae; Streptophyta; Magnoliopsida; Solanales; Solanaceae
Description: long non-coding RNA (NBEN_LNC031790)
Source: RNAcentral
CUCGUUAAAGCUAGCCGGGAGAAUUUUGACUUGGAAUCUGAGUUAGCCAAGAUUAGAGAGACUAUUGAAAAAACUCAACGGAACUAAGUUCUUUCUCCUUCCGCGGCUGAAGCUUAUGAAAAUGUUGAAAUUCAUACGGGUAUCCCCACUACUUCAAGCCAAGUUGAACCCGCUGUUGUAAGCCAAGUUGAGCCUGUUGCUGCUGAUGUACCUGUUUCAAUUCCUCCAUCUUCUUAGUGACAAGUUCAAGUUAUUUGAAUUUCUUUAUGUUGUUUUUUUACUUGGAAAAUUG